AGGAUGAACGCUGGCGGCGUGCUUAACACAUGCAAGUCGAACGAUGAAGCAGAGCUUGCUCUGUGGAUUAGUGGCGAACGGGUGAGUAACACGUGAGUAACCUGCCCUUGACUCUGGAAUAAGCGUUGGAAACGACGUCUAAUACCGGAUACGAGCUUCCGCCGCAUGGUGAGGAGCUGGAAAGAAUUUCGGUCAAGGAUGGACUCGCGGCCUAUCAGGUAGUUGGUGAGGUAAUGGCUCACCAAGCCUACGACGGGUAGCCGGCCUGAGAGGGUGACCGGCCACACUGGAACUGAGACACGGUCCAGACUCCUACGGGAGGCAGCAGUGGGGAAUAUUGCACAAUGGGGCGCAAGGCCUGAUGCAGCAACGCCGGCGUGGAGGACGACGGCCUUACGGUCGUUAACCUCGUUUAGUAAGGGAAGAAGGUCUUCGGUC
RNAcentral lists this ribosomal RNA (438 nucleotides) under uncultured soil bacterium. RNAcentral describes it as "bacterial SSU rRNA". It matches the Rfam family "Bacterial small subunit ribosomal RNA", at positions 26 to 460 of the family's 1533-position model. The record is from RNAcentral.